AACUAGCAUACGAUACGGAUUUAUUGGGUGUAAGGGAGCGUAGGUGGGAUAUUAAGUCAGCUGUGAAAGUUUGGGGCUCAACCUUAAAAUUGCAUUUGAUACUGGUUUCCUUGAGUACGGUACAGGUGGGCGGAAUUCGUGGUGUAGCGGUGAAAUGCUUAGAUAUCACGAAGAACUCCGAUCGCGAAGGCAGCUCACCGGGCCGGAACUGACACUGAUGCUCGAAAGUGCGGGUAUCAAACAGGAUUAGAUACCCUGGUAGUCCGCACAGUAAACGAUGAAUACUCGCUGUUUGCGAUACACAGUAAGCGGCCAAGCGAAAGCGUUAAGUAUUCCACCUGGGGAGUACGCCGGCAACGGUGAAACUCAAAGGAAUUGACGGGGGCCCCCACAAGCGGAGGAACAUGUGGUUUAAUUCUAUGAUACGCGAGGAACCUUACCCGGGCUUAAAUUGCGCUGGCUUUUACCGGAAACGGUAUUUUCUUCGGACCAGCGUGAAGGUGCUGCAUGGUUGUCGUCAGCUCGUGCCGUGAGGUGUCGGCUUAAGUGCCAUAACGAGCGCAACCCUUAUCUUUAGUUACUAACAGUUUUGCUGAGGACUCUAAAGAGACUGCCGUCGUAAGAUGCGAGGAAGGUGGGGAUGACGUCAAAUCAGCACGGCCCUUACGUCCGGGGCUACACACGUGUUACAAUGGGGAGCACAGCAGGUUGCUACACGGCGACGUGAUGCCAAUCCGUAAAACUCCUCUCAGUUCGGAUCGAAGUCUGCAACCCGACUUCGUGAAGCUGGAUUCGCUUGUAAUCGCGCAUCAGCCACGGCGCGGUGAAUACGUUCCCGGCCCUUGUACACACCGCCCGUCAAGCCAUGAAAGCCGGGGGUACGUGAAGUACGUAACCGGAAGCAUCGUCCUAGGAAAACCAAAAU
This 925-nucleotide ribosomal RNA is filed under the name Bacteroides pyogenes. RNAcentral's name for it is "bacterial SSU rRNA". It matches the Rfam family "Bacterial small subunit ribosomal RNA", at positions 529 to 1463 of the family's 1533-position model. Lineage: Bacteria; Pseudomonadati; Bacteroidota; Bacteroidia; Bacteroidales; Bacteroidaceae. The record is from RNAcentral.